UACGGAGGAGGCAAGCGUUAUCCGGAAUUAUUGGGCGUAAAGCGUCCGCAGGUGGCACCUCAAGUCUGCUGUCAAAGACCGGGGCUUAACCCCAGAAAGGCAGUGGAAACUGAAGCGCUAGAGUGCAGUAGGGGUAGAGGGAAUUCCCGGUGUAGCGGUGAAAUGCGUAGAGAUCGGGAAGAACAUCGGUGGCGAAAGCGCUCUGCUGGACCAUAACUGACACUCAGGGACGAAAGCUAGGGGAGCGAAUGGG
Molecule: ribosomal RNA, 253 nt
Filed under: uncultured bacterium
Lineage: Bacteria
Description: partial 16S ribosomal RNA
Rfam family: Bacterial small subunit ribosomal RNA
Source: RNAcentral